RNAcentral lists this ribosomal RNA (274 nucleotides) under uncultured bacterium. Its description in RNAcentral is "partial 16S ribosomal RNA". It matches the Rfam family "Bacterial small subunit ribosomal RNA", at positions 524 to 796 of the family's 1533-position model. The record is from RNAcentral.
UACGUAGGGGGCAAGCGUUGUCCGGAUUUAUUGGGCGUAAAGAGCUCGUAGGCGGUUUGGUAAGUCGGAUGUGAAAUCUCCAGGCUCAACCUGGAGGGGUCAUUCGAUACUGCCAUGACUAGAGUUCGGUAGGGGAGUGUGGAAUUCCUGGUGGAGCGGUGAAAUGCGCAGAUAUCAGGAGGAACACCCGUAGCGAAGGCGGCACUCUGGGCCGAUACUGACGCUGAGGAGCGAAAGCGUGGGGAGCAAACAGGAUUAGAAACCCCAGUAGUCC